RNAcentral lists this long non-coding RNA (714 nucleotides) under Homo sapiens (human). RNAcentral describes it as "HSALNT0307349". Lineage: Eukaryota; Metazoa; Chordata; Mammalia; Primates; Hominidae. The record is from RNAcentral.
ACAAACGUCCGCGCCGCCACGUGAUGCGCGCGCUCGUUCCGCGCUCUCCGCGCCUCAGCGAGCGGCCAGGCUGCGGGCGGGGUGGGCUGGCGCUCCUGAUCCACCUGGAACACUUUUGCAAAGACAGACGCGGUUCCUCCUACUUCAGAGCAAGUCUGGGCCAGCUGGGAUCCGACCAGAAAUCGCAAGCGGAGGAGACGCAGUAGCGCAGGCUGAGCGCUAACUGAAGGCGCGACCUGAGCCCGGCGCCUGCUGGGGAGCUGCGCAGCCAGGACAGCGGUCGGCAGCACAGGGCCUGGGCGCAGGGCCCGCCGUCACCACCUCACGUCGGAAGCCAGCACUGCUGCCCGCCAGCCCUGCCGCCUGCCCUCGGACUUCCCAGGGCGCCCAGGGUCCUCCCAACGCGCCUGCACCCACACCCGCCCCUGAGCCACAGUGACCUUGCAUUCCCCGCCCCCUGCCACACCUCCUGCGUGCCCGAGUGUCACCCUUAAAUACCGCUCUACACCCAGAGAGGGACGAAUACACCUCUGAAGACAGGGCAAGACUAAUUUCAAUGGGUCAGAAGGUUCUUGCAGGCACUGUUUUAUUUAAGAGUGCCUAUUUACUGGCAGGAGUAUUUGUGUGGGAGGAAGUAGGCUAAGACUGCUGUUGAACUUGAAGCUAAACUUGAAUGCCAUUUAAAAUAACAAUAAAAAUAUACUUAAAACACCA